Molecule: ribosomal RNA, 478 nt
Filed under: uncultured anaerobic ammonium-oxidizing bacterium
Lineage: Bacteria
Description: bacterial SSU rRNA
Rfam family: Bacterial small subunit ribosomal RNA
Source: RNAcentral
UUUCGCAAUGCCCGAAAGGGUGACGAAGCGACGCCGCGUGCGGGAAGAAGGCCUUCGGGUUGUAAACCGCUGUCGGGAGUUAGGAAGUGCAAGGAUGUUAAUAGCGUUCUUGCUUGACUAAGGCUCCGGAGGAAGCCACGGCUAACUCUGUGCCAGCAGCCGCGGUAAUACAGAGGCGGCAAGCGUUGUUCGGAAUUAUUGGGCGUAAAGAGCACGUAGGCGGCUGUGUAAGUCGGUUGUGAAGGCCUUCCGCUUAACGGAAGAACGGCAUCCGAUACUGCAUAGCUUGAGUGCGGGAGGGGAGAGUGGAACUUCUGGUGGAGCGGUGAAAUGCGUAGAUAUCAGAAGGAACACCGGCGGCGAAGGCGACUCUCUGGUCCGUAACUGACGCUGAGUGUGCGAAAGCUAGGGGAGCAAACGGGAUUAGAUACCCCGGUAGUCCUAGCCGUAAACGAUGGGCACUAAGUAGAGGGGUUUU